This is a non-coding RNA of Drosophila melanogaster (fruit fly), 22 nucleotides long. Lineage: Eukaryota; Metazoa; Arthropoda; Insecta; Diptera; Drosophilidae. The record is from Ensembl.
CGUGAUCUCUUAGUGGCAUCUA